This 253-nucleotide ribosomal RNA is filed under the name uncultured bacterium. RNAcentral describes it as "partial 16S ribosomal RNA". It matches the Rfam family "Bacterial small subunit ribosomal RNA", at positions 524 to 776 of the family's 1533-position model. The record is from RNAcentral.
UACGUAGGGUCCGAGCGUUGUCCGGAGUUACUGGGCGUAAAGCGCGCGCAGGCGGCGGUGCUGGCCCGGCGUGAAAGCCUCCGGCUCAACCGGGGAGGGUCGUCGGGGACCGCACCGCUUGAGGGCGGUAGGGGCUGGUGGAAUGCCUGGUGUAGUGGUGAAAUGCGUAGAGAUCAGGCGGAACACCCGUGGCGAAGGCGGCCAGCUGGGCCGUCCCUGACGCUGAGGCGCGAAGGCGUGGGGAGCGAACGGG